This 300-nucleotide ribosomal RNA is filed under the name uncultured Lactobacillus sp. RNAcentral describes it as "bacterial SSU rRNA". It matches the Rfam family "Bacterial small subunit ribosomal RNA", at positions 496 to 795 of the family's 1533-position model. The record is from RNAcentral. Lineage: Bacteria; Bacillati; Bacillota; Bacilli; Lactobacillales; Lactobacillaceae.
GCUAAUCACGGCGCGGCAGGCGCUGGAAGAGGUAGUGUCCAAGCGUUAAUCGGGAUUACUGGGCGUAAAGCGUGGGCAGGCGGUUGUGCAAGACCGAUGUGAAAUCCCCGAGCUUAACUUGGGAAUUGCAUUGGUGACUGCACGGCUAGAGUGUGUCAGAGGGGGGUAGAAUUCCACGUGUAGCAGUGAAAUGCGUAGAGAUGUGGAGGAAUACCGAUGGCGAAGGCAGCCCCCUGGGAUAACACUGACGCUCAUGCACGAAAGCGUGGGGAGCAAACAGGAUUAGAUACCCUUGUAGUC